RNAcentral lists this transfer RNA (72 nucleotides) under Allgaiera indica. Its description in RNAcentral is "tRNA-Ile". Lineage: Bacteria; Pseudomonadati; Pseudomonadota; Alphaproteobacteria; Rhodobacterales; Paracoccaceae. The record is from RNAcentral.
GCUCGCCACGGUGCUGGCCAACGCACAGCCGCUGAUGGCGGCUGCACUAGCGAUCGUGGUGCUUGGUGAGCG